Molecule: ribosomal RNA, 488 nt
Filed under: uncultured bacterium
Lineage: Bacteria
Description: bacterial SSU rRNA
Rfam family: Bacterial small subunit ribosomal RNA
Source: RNAcentral
GACGAACGCUGGCGGCGUGCUUAACACAUGCAAGUCGAACGAGACGAUUUAGAAGCUUGCUUUUAUUGAGUCGAGUGGCAAACGGGUGAGUAACGCGUAGACAACCUGCCGCAAAGAUGGGGACAACAGUCCGAAAGGACUGCUAAUACCGAAUGUUGUAUCUCCUCCGCAUGGAAGAGAUAUUAAAGAUGGGCCUCUACUUGUAAGCUAUCGCUUUGCGAUGGGUCUGCGUCUGAUUAGCUAGUUGGUGGGCAACGGCCUACCAAGGUGACGAUCAGUAGCCGGUCUGAGAGGAUGAACGGCCACAUUGGAACUGAGACACGGUCCAGACUCCUACGGGAGGCAGCAGUGGGAAUCUUCCGCAAUGGCGCAAGCCUGACGGAGCAACGCCGCGUGAGUGAAGAAGGUCUUCGGAUCGUAAAGCUCUGUUGUCGGGGACGAAUGUUGAGGCCUAGAACAUAGGUUUCAAAUGACGGUACCUGACGAGG